GCCAGACUCCUACGGGAGGCAGCAGUGGGGAAUAUUGCACAAUGGGGGAAACCCUGAUGCAGCGACGCCGCGUGAGCGAUGAAGUAUUUCGGUAUGUAAAGCUCUAUCAGCAGGGAAGAAAAUGACGGUACCUGACGAAGAAGCCCCGGCUAACUACGUGCCAGCAGCCGCGGUAAUACGUAGGGGGCAAGCGUUAUCCGAAUUUACUGGGUGUAAAGGGGGCGCAGACGGCGAUGCAAGCCAGGAGUGAAAGCCCGGGGCCCAACCCCGGGACUGCUCUUGGAACUGCGUGGCUGGAGUGCAGGAGGGGCAGGCGGAAUUCCUGGUGUAGCGGUGAAAUGCGUAGAUAUCAGGAGGAACACCGGCGGCGAAGGCGGCCUGCUGGACCGUAACUGACGUUGAGGCUCGAAAGCGUGGGGAGCAAACAGGAUUAGAUACCCCAGUAC
This 446-nucleotide ribosomal RNA is filed under the name uncultured bacterium. RNAcentral's name for it is "partial 16S ribosomal RNA". It matches the Rfam family "Bacterial small subunit ribosomal RNA", at positions 330 to 793 of the family's 1533-position model. The record is from RNAcentral.